This 478-nucleotide ribosomal RNA is filed under the name Fornixtrema sp. MiAG86. RNAcentral's name for it is "partial 12S ribosomal RNA". The record is from RNAcentral. Lineage: Eukaryota; Metazoa; Platyhelminthes; Monogenea; Polystomatidea; Polystomatidae.
GACUGAUAAGUUAGCUUUUUAUAUGAGAUAUUAUAUUUAGUUUAAUAAUUUAAAAAUUAGUGGUUUAAUAUUAAUUUUUUUUUAUACAUAUUAUAUUGGUAUAUUAUUCAUUUUUUUUAGACGAGGAUUAGAUACCCUCUUAUAUAAAUGAUUAGUAUUUAUUUGUUUCUCAGUGUAGAUAAACUGAAAGAAAUUGGCAGUUAAUUAUAUUUUUCUAGGGGAUUGUGUGGUUUAAACAGAUGAUCCACUUAUUAUAUUUCCUAUUUUUUGUUGGUGUAUAUCCGGUUAAUAAACAAAAAAUAAUUAUUUUUUGUUUAAAAUAUUUUUUUAUCCAGGUCGAUAUGCUGCUUAUAAAUAGGUGCUUAUGCAAUACAGUUUAAAUUAUAAUAAUGAAAAUGAUUAUUAUUUAGGACUUAGUAGUAAUAAAAAAUAAUUAUGUUUUUGUGAAUUAUUGAUUUGAUUAAUGUACACAUCGCCC